This is a non-coding RNA of Pelobates cultripes (western spadefoot toad), 263 nucleotides long. NCBI's taxonomy places the organism in Eukaryota, Metazoa, Chordata, Amphibia, Anura, Pelobatidae. The record is from the annotation of a GenBank genome assembly.
ACACACCCAUCAUCCAGCACACACACACCCAUCAUCCAGCACACACACACCCAUCAUCCAGCACUCACACACACAUCAUCCUGCACUCACACACACACAUCAUCCUGCACUCACACACACCCAUCAUCCAGCACUCACACACACACACAUCAUCCAGCACUCACACACAUCAUCCUGCACUCACACACACGUCAUCCAGCGCACUCACACACAUCAUCCAGCGCACAUGCAUUCAUUAUACACACUCUUCACUCACUACAAAC